UUACUGCAUCAAGAGUAGAGUUUAGUCUCUCUCCAACCUGCCCACUCCGGUAAGGUGGAAAAAGUGAUGCGGCAUUCUGCAAUACAAGGAGGAAGA
Molecule: non-coding RNA, 96 nt
Filed under: unclassified sequences
Description: SAM-I-IV sequence
Rfam family: SAM-I/IV (S-adenosyl methionine) riboswitch aptamer
About the family: It is found upstream of a number of genes which code for proteins involved in methionine or cysteine biosynthesis. It has been found mostly in the order Actinomycetales.
Source: Rfam by way of RNAcentral